CCCUAGCAACCGUAAUUAAGGUCUCGUGAACAAGUCUGAGUUAAAACUCAGCACAAACAUGAGUUUAAAGAAGAGAAUUACGGAUAAAACAGAGCCUAUUUCACCAAAGGUUCCCAGGAAACAGCCAUGGAUGGAAAACAAACAUUUGUUCACGCUUCCUCCACUCCUCCAAGGAGCUCCAUCCAGUGUUGGAACCUCCUCAGGUGCAGUAAGUGAGGGUGUGUUGAACUCAGUGAGCCACAGAAGUGCUUCACACUCUCCUGGGACCUUCAGGUGGGGCAGCAGACCUCGUGUUAAGGAGCUGCAAGAAAAGCACAGGAGCAGCC
This 326-nucleotide long non-coding RNA is filed under the name Gouania willdenowi (blunt-snouted clingfish). Its description in RNAcentral is "lncRNA (ENSGWIG00000020678.1)". The record is from RNAcentral. Lineage: Eukaryota; Metazoa; Chordata; Actinopteri; Blenniiformes; Gobiesocidae.